RNAcentral lists this ribosomal RNA (206 nucleotides) under Scomberoides tala (barred queenfish). Its description in RNAcentral is "partial 16S ribosomal RNA". The record is from RNAcentral. Lineage: Eukaryota; Metazoa; Chordata; Actinopteri; Carangiformes; Carangidae.
GCCCAUUAGCUAGCCCCACCCUCCAACCGCAACACACCAACCUAAAUAAACCCAAACACACGAGACUAAAUUAAACCAAACCAUUUUCCCCUCUUAGUAUAGGUGACAGAAAAGAACCCUCGGAGCAAUAGAAAAAGUACCGCAAGGGAACGCUGAAAGAGAGAUGAAAAAGACCAGUAAAGCCUAAAGAAGCAGAGAUUACCCCU